AUGAUCCUACCAAUUCUCCUCUCUACUUCUUGCAUUAUAAAUGGUAUUAUUAUUAUUUGAGUAGAAAGCAAGGUUACAACUUACCUAUAGUUAGAUUCUGAAAUUGCUGUGUAGCAUAAAAAUCAUGGAUCCUCUAAACUAAAUGGGAAAAUUCCUUAAAAUGCCUGUAAGAUAUAGUAGAGUCAUAUUAUGCAUUUGUAGAUAGAAAGGAGCUAAGUUAAAGUCUCUUUAAAUGGAGGUAGGCUGUAUCAGAGGGCAGAUGGACUUAGAAUGGUUGCUAUAGAUACAGUGGAAUAUAAAUUUUAUGUUUUACUACACUCAGAAAGAAACAAUGAAUUAGGGGAGAGGUGAAAACAGGAUUGCUACUCAAAUAGGAAAACAAUAAAGAGGACCUGCAGAUCUAGCUCAUCAGGGAGCAGUGACUUGAAUUUCCCAAGAACAGCACCUUACUUUCCUGUGUCACUUGGACAUCAGCCCUCUGUUACUAUGUCCUGUAAUUUCCAAUGCAAGAAAUGCUUGAAAGACCAACUAAGCCUGCUUCUCUCAUCAGCUCUAAUAGCCGAAGGAAAAUGAAGAGAUUACAUGAACAAAAGAUCCGGAAGAGAUUUUGAAUCUCACUGUCUGCGAGAUGGUCACAUUUUGAGAAGCACUAUGGAAACUGAGGCUGAUUAAGAAAAUAUUAAAUCCAUCUUACACUACUCUCAUUGAGAGGGAAUGGAAA
Molecule: long non-coding RNA, 721 nt
Organism: Sarcophilus harrisii (Tasmanian devil)
Lineage: Eukaryota; Metazoa; Chordata; Mammalia; Dasyuromorphia; Dasyuridae
Exons: 2
Source: RefSeq, a predicted model, not a curated record